CCUACGGGAGGCAGCAGUGGGGAAUAUUGGUCAAUGGACGCAAGUCUGAACCAGCAACGUCGCGUGAAGGAAGAAGGCUCUAUGGUUUGUAAACUUCUUUUAUAGGGGAGUAAAGAUCACCAUGUGUCGUGAUUUGCAUGUACCUUAUGACUAAGCAUCGGCUAACUCCGUGCCAGCAGCCGCGGUAAUACGGAGGAUGCGAGCGUUAUCCGGAUUUAUUGGGGGUAAAGGGAGCGUAGGAGGAUUUUUAAGUCAGCUGUGAAAGUUUGGGGCUCAACCAGAAAAUUGCCGUUGAUACUGGCAGACUUGAGUGUGGGAGAGGUAGUCGGAAUUCGUGGUGUAGCGGUGAAAUGCAUAGAUAUCACGAAGAACUCCGAUGGCGAAGGCAGCUUACUGGACUAUAACUGACGCUGAAGCGCGAAAGCGUGGGGAUCAAACAGGAUUAGAUACCCCAGUAGUC
Molecule: ribosomal RNA, 460 nt
Filed under: uncultured bacterium
Lineage: Bacteria
Description: partial 16S ribosomal RNA
Rfam family: Bacterial small subunit ribosomal RNA
Source: RNAcentral